RNAcentral lists this ribosomal RNA (464 nucleotides) under uncultured bacterium. Its description in RNAcentral is "bacterial SSU rRNA". It matches the Rfam family "Bacterial small subunit ribosomal RNA", at positions 331 to 792 of the family's 1533-position model. The record is from RNAcentral.
CCAGACUCCUACGGGAGGCAGCAGUGAGGAAUAUUGGUCAAUGGGCGGGAGCCUGAACCAGCCAAGUCGCGUGAGGGAAGACGGUCCUACGGAUUGUAAACCUCUUUUGCCGGGGAGCAACGGGGUCCUUGCGAGGGCCCGAUGAGAGUACCCGGAGAAAAAGCAUCGGCUAACUCCGUGCCAGCAGCCGCGGUAAUACGGAGGAUGCGAGCGUUACCCGGAUUUAUUGGGUUUAAAGGGUGCGCGGGCGGGAUGCGAAGUCGGCGGUCAAAGGCGGGGGCACACCCCCGGCCCGCCGUUGAAACUGGCAGUCUCGAGUUGGAGAGAAGUAUGCGGAAUGCGCGGUGUAGCGGUGAAAUGCAUAGAUAUCGCGCAGAACUCCGAUUGCGAAGGCAGCAUGCCGGCUCCACACUGACGCUGAGGCACGAAAGCGUGGGUAUCGAACAGGAUUAGAUACCCUUGUA